CCUACGGGAGGCAGCAGUGAGGAAUAUUGGUCAAUGGACGCAAGUCUGAACCAGCCAUGCCGCGUGCAGGAAGACGGCUCUAUGAGUUGUAAACUGCUUUUGUACGAGGGUAAACGCAGAUACGCGUAUCUGUCUGAAAGUAUCGUACGAAUAAGGAUCGGCUAACUCCGUGCCAGCAGCCGCGGUAAUACGGAGGAUUCAAGCGUUAUCCGGAUUUAGUGGGUUUAAAGGGUGCGUAGGCGGUCGGAUAAGUUAGAGGUGAAAUCCCGAGGCUCAACUUCGGAAUUGCCUCUGAUACUGUUCGGCUAGAGAGUAGUUGCGGUAGGCGGAAUGUAUGGUGUAGCGGUGAAAUGCUUAGAGAUCAUACAGAACACCGAUUGCGAAGGCAGCUUACCAAGCUACUGCUGACGUGGAGGCACGAAAGCGUGGGGAGCAAACAGGAUUAGAUACCCCAGUAGUC
This 460-nucleotide ribosomal RNA is filed under the name uncultured bacterium. Its description in RNAcentral is "partial 16S ribosomal RNA". It matches the Rfam family "Bacterial small subunit ribosomal RNA", at positions 338 to 795 of the family's 1533-position model. The record is from RNAcentral.